AUUGCCUUGGUUCACCACCACUCUUUUGCGGAUGUCAAGCAAUUGUCAUCCACUCAUUACUUUGAGAAAAUUAGAGCGCUCCAAGCAGGCUCCAAAACACGCCUUGUAUAGUUCAGCAUGGAAUAAUGGAACAUGUCUUUACAUGUUUUUUAUUGGAUUUAUGCAUGUUAGAGAAAUGAUUAAUGCGGAUGACUCGAGGGCAUCAGUAUGCACGGGGGAGAGGUGAAAUUUUAUGAUCCCGGACAGACUAACAGAUGCGAAAGCGCUUGCCAAGGGCUUCCCGAUCAAUCAAGAACGAAAGUAGAGGGAUCGAAGAUGAUCAGAUACCGUCGUAGUCUCUACUAUAAAUGAUGAUGACUGACUGAAGUGGGAGUAGAUGUAGCUAACACUGCAUUCACCUUGCUCCGGUCGUUGAGAAAUCAUUAAGUAUUCAUCUCUGGGGGGAGUAUGAUCGCAAGAUUGAAACUUAAAGGAAUUGACGGAAGGACACCACCAGAUGUGGAAUCUGCGGCUUAAUUUGACUCAACACGGGGAAACUUACGGAGUCCUGACAUAUUGAGGAUUGACAGACUAAUAGAUCUUUCAUGAUUGUGUGGGUAGUGGUGCAUGGCCGUUCUUAGUUGGUGGAGUGAUUUGUCUGGUCAAUUCCGAUAACGAACGAGACCUUGAAACGAUAACUAGGGGUCCAAUGGCAACAUUGGGGUCCUCUUCUUAUAUUGACUGUUAGCGAC
RNAcentral lists this ribosomal RNA (731 nucleotides) under uncultured eukaryote. RNAcentral's name for it is "bacterial SSU rRNA". It matches the Rfam family "Eukaryotic small subunit ribosomal RNA", at positions 696 to 1430 of the family's 1831-position model. The record is from RNAcentral.